Molecule: ribosomal RNA, 480 nt
Filed under: uncultured Thermoanaerobacterales bacterium
Lineage: Bacteria; Bacillati; Bacillota; Clostridia; Thermoanaerobacterales
Description: bacterial SSU rRNA
Rfam family: Bacterial small subunit ribosomal RNA
Source: RNAcentral
ACGGUCCAAACUCCUACGGGAGGCAGCAGUGGGGAAUAUUGCACAAUGGGGGAAACCCUGAUGCAGCGACGCCGCGUGAGCGAUGAAGGCUUUCGAGUCGUAAAGCUCUGUCCUAUGGGAAGAUAAUGACGGUACCAUAGAAGAAAGCCCCGGCUAAUUACGUGCCAGCAGCCGCGGUAAUACGUAAGGGGCGAGCGUUGUCCGGAAUUAUUGGGCGUAAAGAGUGCGUAGGCGGCAAAUUAAGUCAGAUGUGAAAACUAAGGGCUCAACCCAUAGAUUGCAUCUGAAACUGAUAUGCUUGAGUCAAGGAGAGGAAAGUGGAAUUCCUAGUGUAGCGGUGGAAUGCGUAGAUAUUAGGAGGAAUACCGGUGGCGAAGGCGACUUUCUGGACUUGAACUGACGCUGAGGCACGAAAGCGUGGGGAGCAAACAGGAUUAGAUACCCUGGUAGUCCACGCCGUAAACGAUGAGUGCUAGGUGU